Cucurbita maxima (winter squash) is the source of this 2610-nucleotide RNA transcript. It is a transcript of the gene named U-box domain-containing protein 12-like, with no coding region annotated. The record is from RefSeq and is a predicted model, not a curated record. Lineage: Eukaryota; Viridiplantae; Streptophyta; Magnoliopsida; Cucurbitales; Cucurbitaceae. The transcript is spliced from 4 exons.
AACUCUUUUCUACUUCUGAGCAUUGUGUGAAGCUCUGCAAAAACCAAAUGAAUUUUUUCAAGGAGAUCGAAGAAGGGAGCAAAAUCAAAGCAAUAAUGCAUUUCAAUGUUUUUCUUCUUCUUCUUCUUCCUCUGGAGAUUCCUCGCGGUGUUCUUCUCUCUGCACUCUAGUUUCAGAAGCAGUUUCCGGUUUCCGAUAUGGUCAAGUGUGAAAGAAACAAUGUCGGAUCUGUAGUUUUUGACCGAGUUUCCACUUCCACUGCCUCUUGCGGAAAUUUUCGCCUUCGUACGUCAUUCUCCGCUGCUUCAUUCCGUAAGAAGAUUUUUGACGCUGUAAGUUGUAGCGGAAGUUUUCACUAUUGUUAUCACCACGACGGCGAUGGUACUGUUGCCUCGGAAAUUAAACCGGCGUCCGAGAUUGUGAAUGAACGGCAGUCGGUGAGGCCAAAGCGGUCCAAUGCGAAGUCGCAGAAGCUGUUGGAUCUUCUGAGGUUGGAGUCAUCGCAGGAAUCGAGGCAGGAGACGGAGGAGGAGGAGGAUCUGGAGGAGUUCAUAUGCGUGGUGAAGAAACUGCAGGAUGAUGUUUUGGUGAAGAGGAGAGCUGCUGCCAGUCGAGUUAGGUUGCUUGCAAAAGAAGAUGCUGAAGCGAGAGAGACGUUCGCAGUACUCGGAGCCAUUCCGCCGCUGGUUGGAAUGCUUGAUUUGGAAGACGAUGAAUCUAAGAUCGCCUCGCUUUAUGCAUUGCUCAAUCUUGGAAUUGGAAACGAUAUGAACAAGGCGGACAUUGUCAAAGCAGGUACUGUUCACAAAAUGCUUAAGCUGAUCGAAUCUGAUAAUUCCAUAAAUCCAUGUGUCUCCGAAGCCAUAGUUGCAAAUUUCCUCGGUUUGAGCGCAUUAGAUACCAACAAACUGGUAAUUGGGUCAUCAGGUGCAAUUCCUUUCCUGGUGAAGAACUUAUACGACCCAGACAAAAAAGGUAGUUCACAAGUCAAACAAGAUGCUCUACGUGCGCUUUAUAACCUCUCUAUUUUCCCAUCCAACGUUCCAUUUAUCUUAGAAACCAAGUUGAUCCCAUUUCUUCUAAACUCGAUGGGAGACAUGGAAGUCAGUGAAAGAGCUCUCUCUAUUUUAAGCAAUGUGGUAUCAAUCCCAGAAGGCCGAGAAGCCAUAAGCACUUUUCCAGAUUCAUUUGCAAUAGUAAUUGAUGUAUUGAAUUGGGGUGAUUCGCCAGGGUGCCAAGAGAAGGCCUCGUAUAUUUUAAUGGCAAUGGCGCACAAAUCUUAUCGUGAUAGACAGGCAAUGAUUGAAGCUGGGAUUUCAUCCGCUUUGUUGGAACUAACUCUUUUGGGCAGUACGUUAACUCAAAAGAGGGCCUCGAGGAUAUUGCAGAUUUUGAGGGUCGAUAAAGAAAAAGAGAUAUCGGAGGAUUAUAGUUGGAAUUCUUCUGCUCCAAUUUGUGGUGGUUCAUCUUCUUUUACAAACCCAAUUCUUGGUUCUGCAGAAGUGGAAGGAUUGGAUGAUUUGGUGAGUGAAGAGAAGAAUGCUGUGAAGCAAUUGGUGCUGCAGAGCUUGCAAAACAACAUGAGGAGAAUCGUUAGGAGAGCGAACUUGCCUCAAGAUCUUGUGCCUUCUGAUCAUUUCAAGUCCCUCACAUCAAGCUCCACUUCAAGAAGCUUGCCGUUUUGAGUGCCUAACUGCCAGGAAUUUUGGUAUCCUCGAUAAUUCUGAAGAUUGAUGCAGUUUUCCUUGUAAAAGAUGAUGUGAGCUGUAGAGGUAACAUCUCUACUGCAAAUGUAGCAUUAUGCUACAGUGCUUUUAAUUCAAUAUAGAUUUUGAAAGUUGAUCUCUGCAACUUCUUUAUUUUCAUUUUGAACUUUUGGGUCUCUUUAACUUUGGACUAGCUAGCUAUUCUAUAGGUCUUCUGCACAAAAUCAAGUACUAACUGGUGCUGCAAUUGCUUUGUUGUUAAACCAAAAGUAGCUGGGACUUGCAAUAAACAAGGGGAAGGAAGUGGAAGGUGUAGGCAGUUAAUGUGUCUGAGAAUUAUUUGAAAAUGACACCCUCUACCAGUGCCUCUAGUGAUCUAGCAACAAUAAUUAGAAUUAUUUGGAAAUGUACUGUUGACACAAUAAUUGAGAAAAAAUUAGUAUUAUUAAGUAAGUUCAUACUAUCAUUUAUUGUCUAUCACGUUAACGGGAGUAUGAUACUUUCAUUUAUUGUCUAUCACAUUAACGGGAGUAUGAUACUUUCAUUUAUUGUCUAUCACAUUAUGGGGGUAUGAUAUGUUGAUAGGUUGAGAAUAACUUAUUUGUCUCUUUCCAUUCUUUUUUUAAUAUUUAGUGGGGAUUUGAUGUGUGAAGUAAUGAGAAUUAUGAUCGGUAGUUGAGUUAUUUAUGAAGGUCUUAUCUCGAGCAAUGAAGACAGAAUGAGAAUCCUCCUGAAUAUCAACUGCUGCUGCAGCAUUUGAAACUUUAAAGCUCCGGGUGCUUAUUUGCUUAUACUUAAUAAAUGGUUUCUUGUAGAUUUGUGUUGUGUUGUGUUGUGCUGUGCUGUCCGACAGCGAUUGUGUGGGGCUGUACAAUUUGUGAAAUCUCAAGGAUGUUUCUUUGGA